Molecule: ribosomal RNA, 103 nt
Filed under: Pantoea conspicua
Lineage: Bacteria; Pseudomonadati; Pseudomonadota; Gammaproteobacteria; Enterobacterales; Erwiniaceae
Source: RNAcentral
UAGCGCGGUGGUCCCACCUGACCCCAUGCCGAACUCAGAAGUGAAACGCCGUAGCGCCGAUGGUAGUGUGGGGCCUCCCCAUGCGAGAGUAGGGAACUGCCAG